This is a long non-coding RNA of Rana temporaria (common frog), 641 nucleotides long. RefSeq lists it as uncharacterized. The record is from RefSeq and is a predicted model, not a curated record. The transcript has 3 exons. Lineage: Eukaryota; Metazoa; Chordata; Amphibia; Anura; Ranidae.
CCCAAGGAACUCGACGAGGAAAACGAUGUGUUUCGCCCGUCGAGUUCCUCGGUCGUGUGUACGAGGCCUCACACUUUCCCUUUCUCCAGUUUUUGAAAAUUGGAGUAAGCAUGCCAUCGUAUUUAACCAUCAAUCUGCCAGAAGGUUUGUGCUGUUUACAAGUGGCUACCAGCAAAUGAGUUAAAUACAAAGUGGUGUGCUUUGGGCACAACAGGGUUAGUGUACAUAGGGAUGCAUUUCUAGUUACGUUUUCCACAGAUAUCCUGUUGGUCACCAUAGCUAUCUUUAAAGUGCACCUCAAGCAAAAAAAAUUUUUUUUCACCUUUGGAUUUAGUGGGGAAGGGUAAAACUGGGCAUACAGCAGUAGAAUUUCAUUCAAAAAGUUUUGGGGCCAAAUCAACAUUUUUUUUUUUACUGUAGUGACAAGAAAAUUGAAGGAGUAGGAUUUAAAAAAAUUUAAACAAUUUUCGUUGAGAAAAAUCAUGCAUAUUGUAAUGAAACCUGUUUUGAGCUGGCUAUACAUGGAUCAAAAUUCAGAGAGUUCAGCAGGGACUGGCCGAAUUUAGAUCCAUAUGGUCAAAUAGAAUUCAGUUUAGCGAUUGACCUCUGUUCAGCUUCCCUGUCAGGCCUCGUACACACGA